Molecule: ribosomal RNA, 445 nt
Filed under: uncultured bacterium
Lineage: Bacteria
Description: partial 16S ribosomal RNA
Rfam family: Bacterial small subunit ribosomal RNA
Source: RNAcentral
GUAGGGAAUAUUGGGCAAUGGAUGCAAGUCUGACCCAGCCAUCCCGCGUGCCGGAAGAAGGCCCUCAGGGUUGUAAACGGCUUUUGACGGUGAAGAAUCGACAGGAUGCGUCCUGUUUUGACGGUAGCCGUUGAAUAAGCACCGGCUAACUCCGUGCCAGCAGCCGCGGUAAUACGGAGGGUGCGAGCGUUGUCCGGAUUUAUUGGGUUUAAAGGGUGCGUAGGCUGGAAGGUCAGUCAGCGGUGAAAAGCUGUCGCUUAACGAUAGUCUUGCCGCAGAUACUUCCUUUCUUGGAUGAGGAGGAGGCCACUGGAACGGAUGGUGUAGCGGUGAAAUGCAUAGAUAUCAUCCAGAACACCGAUUGCGAAGGCAGGUGGCUGUACCUUAAUCGACGCUGAUGCACGAAAGCAUGGGGAGCAAACGGGAUUAGAAACCCCGGUAGUCC